Molecule: ribosomal RNA, 508 nt
Filed under: uncultured bacterium
Lineage: Bacteria
Description: partial 16S ribosomal RNA
Rfam family: Bacterial small subunit ribosomal RNA
Source: RNAcentral
AUUGAACGCUGGCGGCAUGCCUAACACAUGCAAGUCGAACGGCAGCACGACCUAGCUUGCUAGGUUGGUGGCGAGUGGCGCACAGGUGAGUAAUGCGUAGGAAUAUACCUUAAAGUGGGGGACAACCUGGGGAAACUCAGGCUAAUACCGCAUGAGCUCUAAGGAGGAAAGCUGGGGACCUUUCGGGGCCUGGCGCUUUAAGAAUAGCUUACGUCCGAUUAGUUAGUUGGUGGGGUAAAGGCUUACCAAGACGAUGAUCGGUAGCUGGUCUGAGAGGAUGAUCAGCCACACUGGGACUGAGACACGGCCCAGACUCCUACGGGAGGCAGCAGUGGGGAAUAUUGGACAAUGGGGGAAACCCUGAUCCAGCGAUGCCGCGUGUGUGAAGAAGGCCUGCGGGUUGUAAAGCACUUUCGGUGGGGAGGAGGACUUAUAGGUUAAGAGCUAAUGAGUUGGACGUCACCCACAUAAGAAGCACCGGCUAACUCCGUGCCAGCAGCCGCAGUAA